CAAUGGACGAAAGUCUGAUGGAGCAACGCCGCGUGAGUGAAGAAGGAUUUCGGUUCGUAAAACUCUGUUGCAAGGGAAGAACAAGUAGCGUAGUAACUGGCGCUACCUUGACGGUACCUUGUUAGAAAGCCACGGCUAACUACGUGCCAGCAGCCGCGGUAAUACGUAGGUGGCAAGCGUUGUCCGGAAUUAUUGGGCGUAAAGCGCGCGCAGGUGGUUCCUUAAGUCUGAUGUGAAAGCCCCCGGCUCAACCGGGGAGGGUCAUUGGAAACUGGGGAACUUGAGUGCAGAAGAGGAUAGUGGAAUUCCAAGUGUAGCGGUGAAAUGCGUAGAGAUUUGGAGGAACACCAGUGGCGAAGGCGACUGUCUGGUCUGUAACUGACACUGAGGCGCGAAAGCGUGGGGAGCAAACAGGAUUAGAUACCCUGGUAGUCCACGCCGUAAACGAUGAGUGCUAAGUGUUGGGGGGUUUCCGCCCCUCAGUGCUGCAGCUAACGCAUUAAGCACUCCGCCUGG
This 516-nucleotide ribosomal RNA is filed under the name uncultured bacterium. Its description in RNAcentral is "bacterial SSU rRNA". It matches the Rfam family "Bacterial small subunit ribosomal RNA", at positions 369 to 876 of the family's 1533-position model. The record is from RNAcentral.